This is a long non-coding RNA of Gallus gallus (chicken), 3504 nucleotides long. NCBI's taxonomy places the organism in Eukaryota, Metazoa, Chordata, Aves, Galliformes, Phasianidae. The record is from Ensembl.
UGUCCUUGUGUAGUACGUUCCAUUCACCAUUCCUCUUGUGAAAAACCAACUAUUAUGGGGAUAGUGUUUUUUUUAGAGUGGAGUUAUGCUUUGCUGCUGUCAUACGACGGAACACGUACUGUGUCAGUGUUCCUGACAGGAGAUUGCAUGUCUUGCUAUUUACUUUUGUAAAUAGGAACAGAAGCACUCUCCUUAGUAACAGGUUACAUAAACGUGCAGGAACCUCAGAGGUCGGACCCUUCAGCUGUUCUGCUGUGGCUGUCCUGAAAUUAAAGCUCCAUCAGACAUCUCAGAAGGAUGUCACAGUACCCUUGCUAUUGACAGGCAUUUUCUUAACCUUGUUGCCUUAUUUAUAGUAAGCAAACAUUCAUUCUUAAAGCACCUACGAGUAGCGUUAUUUCAGAGCUGUAUUGAUUAUUCUGCUGUAUGUAUUAGUUGUCAGGUCUAUACGCUUCUCUCCUGAGAUUGGUUCUGUGACACACUCAAUACUGACUUUCCAAGGACCUAAAGCUACAAGGCAUAUUUCUCUUAAACUGCUUUUUUGAACUCAGUUAAUGGUGUGGUUGUAAGCAAACACUGUGCUCAUGCAGCAAUAACAGUGAUUUCGGAGUUUAUCAUAAUCAUUGGACGUUGCCUGUACUGUAAGUGGUAUAUAUUUGCUCUGUGUUUGUUUUCACUUCCAGUCACACCGCACUUUGAAACUGAGUUAAGUAAAUUUUUGGCCACAGCACAAAGCAGAAUUCGUUGUAGAAUGGUAAUUCAGAUUAUACAGUUUGUCUGAAUCUUAGUGCUGUAUAAAUAGUGGUGAUUGAGCAACUAUGUCAGUUCUUCCUGUUUUCCAGCCUACAUUUUCAUUCCUUACAGUAUGCAUAUGGGACUCUAGCAAAAUUUGAGGUCAAGAGAAAAUAUCAUAAUUCUAAAAUAUAGGUGCAGUAGUCCCUUUGCACAGUGUUUGUGUCUACAGUUUAUGGUUGUGUUGUGAUAAAUAUUAGUAGCUCAAUGCUUUACUGUACUUCAGCUUUCAGAUUUAUUUGCCAUGUGGUCUGUCAACUUUGCCGUGAAUGUGUGCAUGAUUGAGAAAAAUUACUGUCCUUAAUCUGGUUUAUCUUUAGUUGAAAUCUUAGAUUCCUGUAAUAGUGUAGUUUAUAGAAAUGGAUUUCUCAUAGGAGCAAGUGUUCUAUGUGCACAGAAGGAGUAGUUGUUGUGCUGAGCAUAGCAACUUAUAUCAGUUCAUAUCUGCCAUCUUCUGCAUGGAAUGAAAAUGUAUUUUCCCCUACAUACUGCUAAAAAAAAAAAAACAAAUGCUAGGUUUUAAUCUUAGUCAAGUCACUAGAUGUCACAAUUUCACAUCCCCACUGUGAUACAGAAAUUGUGUGUACGUAGUGUGUAGACUAAUGCAUCAAUCUUCCCAUCCUGCUCUGCAAUGUGACAGUUUGCAGUGGGGUGGUGGGAGCAGCAAACGGGGAGAGUGUGGUCAUAAGAACCUUACGGAGCUUCCGACAAUCCUGCAGAUUUGGCUCCUCCAUAGCUGAUAGAAGCUCUAGUGAAUGUGUUGGUCCUUGAGAAACCAUAACAAGCAUCACUACAGGAAAAUCAUUUAGGCAUACGUAAGGGAAGAGGACCUCUGUGAAGAAGGCCUUUCUACGUAUGACUGAUAUUUUUCCUUUCUGGCUGGACUUCACUGUGGUGGUUGCAUCCAUCUGUUGCUUGUUGUUUAUCUUAAGCAGUCUGUCAGCUCUCGUGCUUUUUCCAUCUUUAGGAACUGGCUUUCAUGGUUCUGGUUAAAACUGUUUUAUACGAUCUGAGUGAUCCAUCAUGAUAAGGAGUUGGAGUGUAUGUUUAUUGUGCAAAUGCUUAUCUGAGGACUCUGAAACAUCUAUGAGUGAGAACAAGAAAUGAAAAACGAAACUUGUAGGUAACCAAAACAUCAGAUAGGAAGACUUCCAUCAGAAACUGUAUCUGCAUCAACAUGAGUUUCAUCCUCUCAUUCACAGAGGUUCCAGAUCCUUUAAAAAUGACCAAUAUCCGUAGCGUGUUCACUUUCUUUUCGUGUCAUAGUUAUUUUCCUUAAGCAUCACUUUUAAGGUUUUCUAAAAACUCUGACAGUCUGCGUCUUAUACCAGACACCUGUAAAAUAACUUAGUAUUAUUAUAUAUUGUGGUUUUUUUGUGGCUGCAUUGGGGAUAGAAUUCAACAUACUUCACUACGUUAUUUGUAAAGAAUCAUUUUGAUAUAUAAGCACUAUAUUCUGUAAUGUCUAAUAUUAAGUAAUGACAGAUGUGUUGUUGAAAUGCAACUUACUGAGAGGAGGAAGCAGAAACAGUCAUUGGUCAGUGUUCCCCUCACUUGUUUGUUGCGCUGAAUUUCAGAGUGUAAUUUGUAAAUCAAUUUUGUUCACAUGUGUAAUCAGAUUUUAUUUUCAUUGUAAUGCUUAUGUAAUUAACUUACCUGUGUAUAUUUCUGGUAAUGAUUCCAUAAGCAUGGACAAUAUAUUGUUAUGUUUAGCACUACAGAAUUAACAUUAAGAACAAGUGAAGCUUAUUGCUAAGGAGCAAAUGGAGCACCUUACUGGGAGAGCGCGCUGUGAUUUCAGUGCUGUGGGGCUGACAGACAGGAGGUCAUUCCAAACUUGACUGCAAAUUGCUCUUCAGUGUAGUAAGCACAUGGACACACUGCUACCAGUGCUGUAAGAAGCACAGCAGUGGCUGUUUUUAACCUAUAAAUAUACUGUAAUUUAAAAUUUUCCUAUAAAAUGAGUUUAUAUUUAAUUGCUGCCUAAUACGUGUACUUAAAAUUAGGAUUUUUAGCAGGGCUGAGGGUGGGUGGGCAUGCCAGUGUAUUUCUGGGAGGGGCUGUUGUAUAUACAUUUCUUUGCACUUCCCGUUCAGUUUAACUGUUAACCCAAACCCAGCUCUGACUGCGACAUUUACGUACUUCAUUGUGAUGGAGGUCCACCUUCUGUGGCCCCAGGCUUCAGCAUUUGACAGAAAAGGUCUUUCCAUUCAAAUGUGAAUACUCUGAUGUACCUCUAGCAUGGAAAUGACCAGGCAACGAAUUUUACUCUGCUGAACUCAAGAUGACGGUGGAGUAUUAUUUAAAGCCAGUAUCUGAAGCUGUUAACCAGCAUUUGGAAAGAGUCAGAGGGACGAUUGCCUUUUGGUGAGUGCAGCCCUAACUCUGCAGCAUUGUCACUGCAGAGACUGUUACCUGUUCCGUACUGUUCUGCCUUAGGUGGCUUUGACUUUCAGAUCCUUUCAGGAGCACUUUUGAUUUCUGAGUUGCGGAACAGGUGUUGGGGAUCAGGGACACUCACUCAACAUCUCCCAGCGUGUUACUGUGCUUGCUGUAUGUGUUGGAUUUAGUCUUACAUAUUUCCAGAUACAUCAUCAUGAGAUUAAAGGAAUUCGGAUGGCUGCAGAUUGUCUCACGUGAAUGACAUCAGUAAAGGUUAAUGAUGUUAACUUCUUUUUGUUUUUUUUUAAACCUGUUGAAUAAAUGAGAAGU